Molecule: long non-coding RNA, 1803 nt
Filed under: Olea europaea (common olive)
Lineage: Eukaryota; Viridiplantae; Streptophyta; Magnoliopsida; Lamiales; Oleaceae
Description: long non-coding RNA (OEUR_LNC000549)
Source: RNAcentral
CUCUUCAUUCAUCACACAAUAUUCUUCCUCAAUUGUAUUAUUUCUGUUAUCAUUCUCAUUAAAUACUUCUUCGUUUACUACAAUUAAAAAACUUAUCAAGCUCCCUCUUGAAAUUUAAUCAACUUUUCAACUUUUUCCUUCCUUUUCCUUUUGGCACAUCCAGAUUCAAAUUUUCUUUUAGACAUAAUAAUAAACAAAGAUCAAUCAAACCUGAUUGAUGAGUCCCCAAAAUGAAAGGAUUCAGAAAUUGGUGGUAGUGGUGGUCGUGUGGUGAUUGAAAUAGACAAUGCGGUUGUUCUAGGUUGCGGUCAAAAAUGCAGAGUCUGAUUAUCAAGCAAUUCCGCUGCCACCAAGAAAUGAACAAAACAAAGAGAGAAUAGAUCACACACCCAAAAAAAAAAAGGAGAGAAUAAGCUUUUAAAAAAGAAAAUGCAUUUUUGGAUCUUAAUCUCAAUAUGCAAUAAUUUUACGAAACGGAAAAAUGUGAAAUAAGCUUCAAUUUAUUCAAAUUGAAUGGAAAAUUUUAAUAAGUUUUUGUUUGGCUAACAAUUUUACGAAACGAAAAAAUGUGAAAUAAUAUCACAUUCUUAUCAUAUGUCGUCAUAAUUUUUAUAUCCUUUGGAGGAGUUGUUAAUAUGAAAUUACACUUUUCUGUGGACACGUUUAUCACCAUUUCAGGCCUAAAACACAAAAAUAUAUAUUAUGUUUUUCCCAAAAUCUCUUAAUACCCUGGACCCCACAUAUCAUCCCUUAUUCCUACUACUUAAUAUAAUAAUACUUAUUGAAAAAUUCCUAAAAUUAUUGCAACCAAAAGACUAAAGACUGAAGUCUAGUUUCUGCAAUCCGUAGUGGCGGAGUCCAAGCUUUCAUUCAUCACUCAUCAGUUCUUCUUUUCUUUUUCUUUUUCUUUUUUACUUCAAAUUUGUUGCAAAAUUGCAGAUCAAGAUACCCUUCUUCAAAUUAAGCAAAACCCCAUUUCUGAUUUUCGGUCAGGUACUUUUUAAAUUUUAACUUUUAUCACAACAUACACAAACACAGGUAUAUCGACACCGACUGGCGAUUGCAAUAUGUAAAUCUGUAAUAUGCUCAUGAUUUUGGAAUUGAGAAAGUGAAACUUAGAGGUUUCGAGGUGAUGGCAUUAGUUGUUUAAUUCUUGUUAAGAUUUUUUUUUGCUUUAUUUAUGUGAAGAAGAUUUUGGGUAUUUUAACCUUAAAACCCCAAUAAAAACGAAAGUCAUGGAAAGAUUUUCAAGGAAUCAAGGGUUUUCAGUUUCCUAAAAUAAAUGGAAACCAACCUCCGAAUUUGCGUGACCUUAGCAGUUUGUGAAAUGCGAACUCUCUGUGUGCGAACGUGCCGAAGCAGCCCAACCUCUGGUCCUCUGGAUUUCGUCGGAACUUUUGCAGUGGUAGACUAGUAGAGUAGUGGUUUUUGGAGAUUAAUUCCGAAUUGGAGUAGGUUUUAGGGAUAAAUUCUGGACUGGAAUGUGUUCUCAGGUCUGGAGAGUAGAGAAGGCGAUUGGAAUGCAAUUGGAAAUGGUUGUUCGUUUGCCUCUUUCAUGUGCCUCAAUAAAUAUUUAUUUAUUUAUUUUUUUUUUAAGAGAGGGGCGGUUUUGGGUUGGAGGCCCCCUAAAAUAUGAGGCUUGCCUUAGGCCAGGGCCGGGCCUGAGUGUAGCAAGGAAAGGAAUCCCAUGGAAGUAAACUACGAACCAGUCUUGGCCUAAGGCAAACUAGGCUACCACCUUGGGCCUCAAAAAUCAAGGGGCUUCAUAAAAAAUAAAUAGGCCUAAAUCCUGCCAAGUCCAAA